RNAcentral lists this ribosomal RNA (516 nucleotides) under uncultured Cryptophyta. RNAcentral's name for it is "SSU rRNA". It matches the Rfam family "Eukaryotic small subunit ribosomal RNA", at positions 451 to 979 of the family's 1831-position model. Lineage: Eukaryota; Cryptophyceae. The record is from RNAcentral.
CCGACUCGGGGAGGUAGUGACAAUAAAUAACAAUACAGGGCUUACAGUCUUGUUAUUGGAAUGAGAACAAUUUAAACCCCUUAACGAGGAUCAAUUAGAGGGCAAGUCUGGUGCCAGCAGCCGCGGUAAUUCCAGCUCUAAUAGCGUAUAUUAAAGUUGUUGCAGUUAAAAAGCUCGUAGUCGGAUGUCGGGCUCGGGCAGGCUGUCGGCCUCUGGUCGGAUGGCAGGCUCGGGUCUUCUUGCCUGGGGGCACCGUCACACUUAACUGUGGGGCGGCUGGUCGCAGGCCGUUUACUUUGAAAAAAUUAGAGUGUUCAAAGCAGGCCUACGCUUGAAUACAUUAGCAUGGAAUAAUGGAAUAGGACUUUGGUGCUAUUUUGUUGGUUUAUGGUACCGAAGUAAUGAUUAAUAGGGACAGUUGGGGCCGUUUAUAUUUCGUUGUCAGAGGUGAAAUUCUUGGAUUUACGAAAGAUAAACUUCUGCGAAAGCAUUCGGCAAGGAUGUUUUCAUUGAUCA